GAUGAACGCUGGCGGCGUGCCUAAUACAUGCAAGUCGAGCGAACAGACGAGGAGCUUGCUCCUCUGACGUUAGCGGCGGACGGGUGAGUAACACGUGGAUAACCUACCUAUAAGACUGGGAUAACUUCGGGAAACCGGAGCUAAUACCGGAUAAUAUAUUGAACCGCAUGGUUCAAUAGUGAAAGACGGUUUUGCUGUCACUUAUAGAUGGAUCCGCGCCGCAUUAGCUAGUUGGUAAGGUAACGGCUUACCAAGGCAACGAUGCGUAGCCGACCUGAGAGGGUGAUCUGCCACACUGGAACUGAGACACGGUCCCGACUCCUACGGGAGGCAGCAGUAGGGAAUCUUCCGCAAUGGGCGGAAGCCUGACGGAGCAACGCCGCGUGAGUGAUGAAGGUCUUCGGAUCGUAAAACUCUGUUAUUAGGGAAGAACAAAUGUGUAAGUAACUAUGCACGUCUUGACGGUACCUAAUCAGAAAGCCACGGCUAACUACGUG
RNAcentral lists this ribosomal RNA (497 nucleotides) under uncultured bacterium. RNAcentral's name for it is "partial 16S ribosomal RNA". It matches the Rfam family "Bacterial small subunit ribosomal RNA", at positions 28 to 507 of the family's 1533-position model. The record is from RNAcentral.